AGCUGGGGGAAAAGAGAAGCACAAUAUAGGUACCUGCCUUCCUUGCCAGCUGGGAGAAUAACAACUUUGGAGGUGAUUUCUGUUAGGAAAAAUGGCACCAGAGGAAAAAGUAGGAGCCCAGGUUGGCAGGAUCAGUGGAUGAAGGAAGCAAUGAGCUAAGAGAGGAAGACUGGAAGGAGUUCAGGGGCCAAGGCCGCUGCUUCCUGCUCCAGGAUUAAAACAGUAUUGAUAAUAUUUAAAAGUGGAUCCACAGCAGAUGAAGAGGCUGAGGCAUGCAAAAAUCAAGACAUGGAACCCAUAUACCACAGUGAGUCAGGAUGUUCGACCCACCGUGCUCAACGGAAUGAAAUCCAGAGGUUUUUUGAUUCCUGUGCUCUGGAUCAGAAUGUCUUUCGCUACUAGAAUUAGCUUGUGGAGGCAUCAUACGUUACAGUAGAUGUAUACAUAUAUACUCAACCCAUCCUAAGAAUCUAGGAAGGAAGCGGACAGAGUCCUUGUCCAUCUAGUCCAGCACUGCCUAUUCUGACUGUCAGCAGCUUUCCAGGGUCUCAGGCAGAUCACUAGCUACCUUGUCCUUUUUGAACUGGAGAUACUGGGGGAGUUGAACCUAGGCCCUUCUGCGUGCAAAGCACAUGCUCUACUGCUACCCUGCGGCCUUAAGCGUGCACUGAAGAACAAAAGACAUGAAGAGGAUUUUGGAGGCAUAUUGCUCCAAGGAGCAGGCCGAGGGCUCUCCAUCUCUGUAUCCCUUGAUGAAGGAGACAUUACAACUCACCGUAGCAAUUUGUCCUUACCUGACCGUUACAAUGUGGUGUUGCACGGGCCGUAAAUGCUGCUGGUCAUGGGGCCAUUGUUUCCAUCUCAGGUCACCAGCCUCGUGCUGGGGAGUUGACGAUGAAUCCCCACUGGAGUGAUGGGAGCACAGAGUCGCUCUUUCCCCAUGCCCUGGUAGAGGAGGCAAGGCAUAGCUGCUUCUGGCUUCAGGCUGGUUGCAGUGAUAAUAUAGGUGAGGCUGAAAGGAGUCCUGGGAGCCAGAUGGCAACUGGCCAUUGGAUCGAGUGGAGAUUGGAGCAUGCAUAUGGCUGGAAGAGGACUGAUGGUAUCUCACCGAGCUGGGAGAAGUAUCGAUUGGGCAGUGAUGGACUGGACAUCUCUUUUCCCAGGAACCUCCACUGGAGCUCGGCUCAGUCAUUCUGAUUUCUGGCACAUUAAGACAGCUUUGACAAAGCUCUGGCUUUACUUUUUCUCUGUAAGAAGAAAGUAUUUGCUUUGCUUUAUUUCAUUCCUAGCCUGCUUUUCUGCAUAAAAUGUGUGCCAAGAGGCAUUCAUUAUAUCAGCAAUCGGGGGGGGGGACAACUACCAAAAAAUGGAAGAUCAAUAACCAAUGAAACACUAAAACGGUAGCAGCAUAAAAUAAUGUUUAAAUAGCAGAAAGAUUAUCCCUCAGAUGACUGAAUAGAAAAGGUUUCACAGAGUAUAUUUAGUUAAGAAAGGGUAGGAAGACAAUAGGAAGUUUUUAUAAUUGGCAAUUAUGUACAGAUUUGAUUAAAAAUAGAC
This is a long non-coding RNA of Rhineura floridana, 1557 nucleotides long. RefSeq lists it as uncharacterized. The transcript has 4 exons. The record is from RefSeq and is a predicted model, not a curated record. NCBI's taxonomy places the organism in Eukaryota, Metazoa, Chordata, Lepidosauria, Squamata, Rhineuridae.